Molecule: transfer RNA, 57 nt
Filed under: Actinomadura sp. HBU206391
Lineage: Bacteria; Bacillati; Actinomycetota; Actinomycetes; Streptosporangiales; Thermomonosporaceae
Description: tRNA-OTHER
Source: RNAcentral
GGGUGGGUGGUACUCCUGAAAAGCGGAAGGUCGGCGGUUCGACCCCGCCCCUGCCCA